RNAcentral lists this long non-coding RNA (402 nucleotides) under Panax ginseng (ginseng). RNAcentral's name for it is "long non-coding RNA (PGIN_LNC010362)". The record is from RNAcentral. Lineage: Eukaryota; Viridiplantae; Streptophyta; Magnoliopsida; Apiales; Araliaceae.
AUCUGUUACCGGUUGGGACAUCUGUCCUGAUGCCUUCCUAUCUUAAGUCUUCAAGGUCUAUCUCUUCUUCUUAGAGUGGAGGCUCGCUGUCUGGCAUUGGCCUCUCUACGAUUACAUUCUCAUGCUCUACGAUUUCACUGUCUGGUACUACGCUCGUAGUGUUGAGCUCGACGACUUCAUUCGUAGUGUCUGCACUAUCGGUCGUAGUGUCUUGAGGCACUGUUUUGUCUAAGUAUGUUUCAUCAAAGAUGAUAUGUAUCGAAACUUCAACAUUCAGUGUCUUCUUAUUGAACACUCUGUAAGCUUUGCUGUCUGUGGCAUACCCAAGAAAGAUCCCUUUGUCUGACUUGGGCUGGAAUUUUGUUAGAUACUGCUUUCCAUUGUUGAGAAUGUAGCAUGCAC